CAGCAGCCGCGGUAAUACGGAGGGAGCUAGCGUUGUUCGGAAUUACUUGGCGUAAAGCGCGCGUAGGCGGUUACUCAAGUCAGAGGUGAAAGCCCGGGGCUCAACCCCGGAACUGCCUUUGAAACUAGGUGACUAGAAUCUUGGAGAGGUCAGUGGAAUUCCGAGUGUAGAGGUGAAAUUCGUAGAUAUUCGGAAGAACACCAGUGGCGAAGGCGACUGACUGGACAAGUAUUGACGCUGAGGUGCGAAAGCGUGGGGAGCAAACAGGAUUAGAUACCCCCGUAGUCCCUGUCUCUUAUAC
RNAcentral lists this ribosomal RNA (301 nucleotides) under uncultured bacterium. Its description in RNAcentral is "partial 16S ribosomal RNA". It matches the Rfam family "Bacterial small subunit ribosomal RNA", at positions 509 to 807 of the family's 1533-position model. The record is from RNAcentral.